AAAACAAACAAAUAAAUCAAAACUUUCAACAACGGAUCUCUUGGUUCUGGCAUCGAUGAAGAACGCAGCAAAAUGCGAUAAGUAAUGUGAAUUGCAGAAUUCAGUGAAUCAUCGAAUCUUUGAACGCACAUUGCGCCCGCCAGUAUUCUGGCGGGCAUGCCUGUUCGAGCGUCAUUUCAACCCUCAAGCUCAGCUUGGUGUUGGGACUCGCGGUAACCCGCGUUCCCCAAAUCGAUUGGCGGUCACGUCGAGCUUCCAUAGCGUAGUAAUCAUACACCUCGUUACUGGUAAUCGUCGCGGCCACGCCGUAAAACCCCAACUUCUGAAUG
RNAcentral lists this unclassified non-coding RNA (329 nucleotides) under Fusarium oxysporum. RNAcentral's name for it is "sequence contains ITS1, 5.8S rRNA gene". The stretch from base 21 to 174 matches the Rfam family "5.8S ribosomal RNA". The record is from RNAcentral. Lineage: Eukaryota; Fungi; Ascomycota; Sordariomycetes; Hypocreales; Nectriaceae.